This 700-nucleotide ribosomal RNA is filed under the name uncultured bacterium. RNAcentral's name for it is "bacterial SSU rRNA". It matches the Rfam family "Bacterial small subunit ribosomal RNA", at positions 100 to 796 of the family's 1533-position model. The record is from RNAcentral.
GACGGGUGAGUAAUGCUUAGGAAUCUGCCUAUUAGUGGGGGACAACAUUCCGAAAGGAAUGCUAAUACCGCAUACGCCCUACGGGGGAAAGCAGGGGAUCUUCGGACCUUGCGCUAAUAGAUGAGCCUAAGUCAGAUUAGCUAGUUGGUGGGGUAAAGGCCUACCAAGGCGACGAUCUGUAGCGGGUCUGAGAGGAUGAUCCGCCACACUGGGACUGAGACACGGCCCAGACUCCUACGGGAGGCAGCAGUGGGGAAUAUUGGACAAUGGGCGCAAGCCUGAUCCAGCCAUGCCGCGUGUGUGAAGAAGGCCUUUUGGUUGUAAAGCACUUUAAGCGAGGAGGAGGCUACUUGGAUUAAUACUCUAGGAUAGUGGACGUUACUCGCAGAAUAAGCACCGGCUAACUCUGUGCCAGCAGCCGCGGUAAUACAGAGGGUGCGAGCGUUAAUCGGAUUUACUGGGCGUAAAGCGUGCGUAGGCGGCUUUUUAAGUCGGAUGUGAAAUCCCUGAGCUUAACUUAGGAAUUGCAUUCGAUACUGGGAAGCUAGAGUAUGGGAGAGGAUGGUAGAAUUCCAGGUGUAGCGGUGAAACGCGUAGAGAUCUGGAGGAAUACCGAUGGCGAAGGCAGCCAUCUGGCCUAAUACUGACGCUGAGGUACGAAAGCAUGGGGAGCAAACAGGAUUAGAUACCCUGGUAGUCC